GACGAACGCUGGCGGCGUGCCUAACACAUGCAAGUCGAGCGAUGAAGCUUCCUUCGGGAAGUGGAUUAGCGGCGGACGGGUGAGUAACACGUGGGUAACCUGCCUCAAAGAGGGGAAUAGCCCUCCGAAAGGAGGAGUAAUACCGCAUAACAUAUUUUAAUCGCAUGAUUAAAAUAUCAAAGAUUUAUCACUUUGAGAUGGACCCGCGUCGCAUUAGCUAGUUGGUAAGGUAACGGCUUACCAAGGCGACGAUGCGUAGCCGACCUGAGAGGGUGAUCGGCCACAUUGGGACUGAGACACGGCCCAGACUCCUACGGGAGGCAGCAGUGGGGAAUAUUGCGCAAUGGGGGAAACCCUGACGCAGCAACGCCGCGUGGGUGAUGAAGGUUUUCGGAUUGUAAAGCCCUGUUCUAUGGGACGAUAAUGACGGUACCAUAGGAGAAAGCCACGGCUAACUACGUG
Molecule: ribosomal RNA, 462 nt
Filed under: uncultured bacterium
Lineage: Bacteria
Description: bacterial SSU rRNA
Rfam family: Bacterial small subunit ribosomal RNA
Source: RNAcentral